This 500-nucleotide ribosomal RNA is filed under the name uncultured bacterium. RNAcentral describes it as "partial 16S ribosomal RNA". It matches the Rfam family "Bacterial small subunit ribosomal RNA", at positions 29 to 523 of the family's 1533-position model. The record is from RNAcentral.
AUUGAACGCUGGCGGCAUGCCUUACACAUGCAAGUCGAACGGCAGCACGGGGGCAACCCUGGUGGCGAGUGGCGAACGGGUGAGUAAAGCAUCGGAACGUGCCCAGUAGUGGGGGAUAGCUCGGCGAAAGCCGGAUUAAUACCGCAUACGACCUACGGGUGAAAGCGGGGGACCGAAAGGCCUCGCGCUAUUGGAGCGGCCGAUGGCAGAUUAGGUAGUUGGUGGGGUAAAGGCCUACCAAGCCGACGAUCUGUAGCUGGUCUGAGAGGACGACCAGCCACACUGGGACUGAGACACGGCCCAGACUCCUACGGGAGGCAGCAGUGGGGAAUUUUGGACAAUGGGCGAAAGCCUGAUCCAGCCAUGCCACGUGCGGGAAGAAGGCCUUCGGGUUGUAAACCGCUUUUGUCAGGGAAGAAAUAUUCCGGGCUAAUACCCCGGGAGGAUGACGGUACCUGAAGAAUAAGCACCGGCUAACUACGUGCCAGCCGCCGCGGUAA